This 252-nucleotide ribosomal RNA is filed under the name uncultured bacterium. RNAcentral's name for it is "partial 16S ribosomal RNA". It matches the Rfam family "Bacterial small subunit ribosomal RNA", at positions 524 to 776 of the family's 1533-position model. The record is from RNAcentral.
UACGUAGGGCGCAAGCGUUGUCCGGAAUUAUUGGGCGUAAAGAGCUCGUAGGCGGUCUGUCGCGUCGGAUGUGAAAGCCCGGGGCUUAACCCCGGGUCUGCAUUCGAUACGGGCAGACUAGAGUGUGGUAGGGGAGAUCGAAUUCCUGGUGUAGCGGUGAAAUGCGCAGAUAUCAGGAGGAACACCGGUGGCGAAGGCGGAUCUCUGGGCCAUUACUGACGCUGAGGAGCGAAAGCGUGGGGAGCGAACAGG